RNAcentral lists this ribosomal RNA (254 nucleotides) under uncultured bacterium. RNAcentral's name for it is "partial 16S ribosomal RNA". It matches the Rfam family "Bacterial small subunit ribosomal RNA", at positions 524 to 776 of the family's 1533-position model. The record is from RNAcentral.
UACGGGGGGAGCAAGCGUUGUUCGGAUUUACUGGGCGUAAAGGGCGCGUAGGCGGUCAGCACAAGUCAGUUGUGAAAUCUCCGGGCUUAACUCGGAAAGGUCAACUGAUACUGUGCGACUAGAGUGCAGAAGGGGCAACUGGAAUUCUCGGUGUAGCGGUGAAAUGCGUAGAUAUCGAGAGGAACACCUGCGGCGAAGGCGGGUUGCUGGGCUGACACUGACGCUGAUGCGCGAAAGCCAGGGGAGCGAACCGG